GACGAACGCUGGCGGCGCGCUUAACACAUGCAAGUCGAGCGAGAACCAGGGCUUCGGCCCUGGGGACAGCGGCGAACGGGUGAGUAACACGUGGAUAACCUGCCCUCGGCACCGGGAUAGCCCGGGGAAACCCGGACUAAUACCGGAUGGCCCUUCCGGCUCACGAGCCGGCCGGAAAAGGUAGCUUCGGCCUCCGGCCGAGGAUGGGUCCGCGGCGGAUUAGCUUGUUGGUGGGGUAACGGCCCACCAAGGCUCCGAUCCGUAGCUGGUCUGAGAGGACGAUGGGCCACACGGGGAGUGAGACACGGCCCAGACUCGUACGGGGGGCAGGAGUGGGGGGGCUUGCGAAAUGGGCGAAAGACUGACGCAGCGACGCCGCGUGAGGGAGGAAGGCCUUGGGGUUGUAAACCUCUUUCAGGAGGGACGAAGCUACUCGGGUGAAUAGCCCAGAGGGUGACGGUACCUCCAGAAGAAGCCCCGGCUAACUACGUGCCAGCCGCCGCAGUAA
RNAcentral lists this ribosomal RNA (508 nucleotides) under uncultured bacterium. RNAcentral describes it as "partial 16S ribosomal RNA". It matches the Rfam family "Bacterial small subunit ribosomal RNA", at positions 28 to 523 of the family's 1533-position model. The record is from RNAcentral.